CUUGGUCAUUUAGAGGAAGUAAAAGUCGUAACAAGGUUUCCGUAGGUGAACCUGCGGAAGGAUCAUUACCGAGUGAGGGCCCUCUGGGUCCAACCUCCCACCCGUGUUUAUUUUACCUUGUUGCUUCGGCGGGCCCGCCUUAACUGGCCGCCGGGGGGCUCACGCCCCCGGGCCCGCGCCCGCCGAAGACACCCUCGAACUCUGUCUGAAGAUUGUAGUCUGAGUGAAAAUAUAAAUUAUUUAAAACUUUCAACAACGGAUCUCUUGGUUCCGGCAUCGAUGAAGAACGCAGCGAAAUGCGAUACGUAAUGUGAAUUGCAAAUUCAGUGAAUCAUCGAGUCUUUGAACGCACAUUGCGCCCCCUGGUAUUCCGGGGGGCAUGCCUGUCCGAGCGUCAUUGCUGCCCUCAAGCACGGCUUGUGUGUUGGGCCCCGUCCUCCGAUCCCGGGGGACGGGCCCGAAAGGCAGCGGCGGCACCGCGUCCGGUCCUCGAGCGUAUGGGGCUUUGUCACCCGCUCUGUAGGCCCGGCCGGCGCUUGCCGAUCAACCCAAAUUUUUAUCCAGGUUGACCUCGGAUCAGGUAGGGAUACCCGCUGAACUUAAGCAUAUCAAUAAGCGGAGGA
This 623-nucleotide ribosomal RNA is filed under the name uncultured Penicillium. Its description in RNAcentral is "eukaryotic LSU rRNA". The stretch from base 245 to 397 matches the Rfam family "5.8S ribosomal RNA". The record is from RNAcentral. Lineage: Eukaryota; Fungi; Ascomycota; Eurotiomycetes; Eurotiales; Aspergillaceae.